This 682-nucleotide ribosomal RNA is filed under the name Klebsiella oxytoca. Its description in RNAcentral is "bacterial SSU rRNA". It matches the Rfam family "Bacterial small subunit ribosomal RNA", at positions 72 to 756 of the family's 1533-position model. The record is from RNAcentral. Lineage: Bacteria; Pseudomonadati; Pseudomonadota; Gammaproteobacteria; Enterobacterales; Enterobacteriaceae.
UUGCUCUCGGGUGACGAGUGGCGGACGGGUGAGUAAUGUCUGGGAAACUGCCUGAUGGAGGGGGAUAACUACUGGAAACGGUAGCUAAUACCGCAUAACGUCGCAAGACCAAAGAGGGGGACCUUCGGGCCUCUUGCCAUCAGAUGUGCCCAGAUGGGAUUAGCUAGUAGGUGGGGUAACGGCUCACCUAGGCGACGAUCCCUAGCUGGUCUGAGAGGAUGACCAGCCACACUGGAACUGAGACACGGUCCAGACUCCUACGGGAGGCAGCAGUGGGGAAUAUUGCACAAUGGGCGCAAGCCUGAUGCAGCCAUGCCGCGUGUAUGAAGAAGGCCUUCGGGUUGUAAAGUACUUUCAGCGGGGAGGAAGGCGAUAAGGUUAAUAACCUUGUCCAUUGACGUUACCCGCAGAAGAAGCACCGGCUAACUCCGUGCCAGCAGCCGCGGUAAUACGGAGGGUGCAAGCGUUAAUCGGAAUUACUGGGCGUAAAGCGCACGCAGGCGGUCUGUCAAGUCGGAUGUGAAAUCCCCGGGCUCAACCUGGGAACUGCAUUCGAAACUGGCAGGCUGGAGUCUUGUAGAGGGGGGUAGAAUUCCAGGUGUAGCGGUGAAAUGCGUAGAGAUCUGGAGGAAUACCGGUGGCGAAGGCGGCCCCCUGGACAAAGACUGACGCUCAGGUGCGA